GACGAACGCUGGCGGCGUGCUUAACACAUGCAAGUCGAGCGAUGAACUUUUCAUGAAUUUUUCGGAAUGAUUGGAAGAGGAUUAGCGGCGGACGGGUGAGUAACGCGUGAGCAACCUGCCUUAAACAACGGGAUAGCCUCGGGAAACCGGGAUUAAUCCCGUAUGUGACCCCGCCUUCACAUGAAGAAGAGGUUAAAGAUUUAUCGGUUUAAGAUGGGCUCGCGUCUGAUUAGCUAGUUGGUGAGAUAAAAGCCCACCAAGGCAACGAUCAGUAACCGGCUUGAGAGAGUGAACGGUCACAUUGGAACUGAGACACGGUCCAAACUCCUACGGGAGGCAGCAGUGGGGAAUAUUGCACAAUGGGGGAAACCCUGAUGCAGCGACGCCGCGUGAGCGAUGAAGGAAUUUGUUUCGUAAAGCUCUGUCCAAGGGGAAGAUAAUGACAGUACCCUUGGAGGAAGCCCCGGCUAAAUACGUGCCAGCCGCCGCCGUAA
RNAcentral lists this ribosomal RNA (494 nucleotides) under uncultured bacterium. RNAcentral describes it as "partial 16S ribosomal RNA". It matches the Rfam family "Bacterial small subunit ribosomal RNA", at positions 28 to 523 of the family's 1533-position model. The record is from RNAcentral.